GCUUGAGUCGCCGAAUUCGGAGUGUUGACCUAAGGUGACUCACCAUGGGGAGGGCAGGUGGUUCCAGCUUGCUUAUGCCGCAAUGUUCAUGGCCCUAAGCCAGGGAGAGAAUCGGAGGGGGGGAGGGGGGUCCAAGUCUUCCCAUGCAGGGACGUGGGCUCCAAACUUACCCUCCUCAGAAGCUCCUCUCUAGACCUACUUCCCCUCCCGCCUCCACCAGAAGAGGAUUUUCUGGACACAUUUGCUUGCCCUCUCCCCCAAUCCCUAUCCCUACUUUUUCUCCUCACCCUGAGUCCUACACUGAUCCAGGACUCCCAAAUUGGCCUUCCAAGGGAACCCUUACUUCAGGGAUCCCCCCCCCCAAGAAAUUCCCCUCCAGAGAGUUCAGCCCAGUCUAACGUGAAGGAGGGCUCCCAGCCCCCUCCCCUCUCACCCCGAAACACACCUGAUCCAAAACACUGUUCCUCUUCUCAAGUCACACUCUCUCAGCCCCCAUCCCAGCCGUUCCUUUGAAGCCUGAUGCCCCCCCCCCCAAAUUGUAUCUGCCCCUGCCACUCAACUCCUGCCACAUUCUGAGUUUUCCUCAGAUGGGAAGAAUCGCCCCACCAUCCCCCUCCUUCUCUUGCCCCCACCAGGCGCUCUCUCUCUCUCUCUCUCUCUCUCUCUCUCUCUCUCUGCGCUCAUUCCUCUCUUGGAGAGAGAGGAGAAGGAGGGGCAGCGGGGAGAUUGUGCAAAGAGGACACUUUUUUCCUCUUCCUGUUUUUGGAGGGGCAAAGGGGGGAGAAGAUUCAGUCCUGAGGCCUGCCACCAAGAUCUAUAGUUCUCCAAGGAUUGCUUCCUUCUUUCAAAUCAAAUCUUCCCCAACUUGAUAUUCUGCCUUGCCUACCCUCAAAUUGUACCCUUUUUUUCUUUUCUCUCUCUCUCUCUUCCCCGGCCUGAGUGAAAAUCUCUCUCUCUCCCUCAAAUCUCAAAUCCAUUUCUCCUCUCCUUCCUCUCUUCUCACCUUUUAAAAUCCCUUAUUUCCCUUUGUUCCCAUUUUCUAGACACUAUCCCUAAGAUUUUACCUCAGUGUUGUCUUAUAUUUCCUUUGGUCCUUACAAAAGGGGGGAGGGGGGGCCAUUCCUUUAGCCGCUUCUGUUUCUUAAUUUCCCCUUUUUCUUUCUUUCCCAUCUGGGAAGCAUGGCAAAGGAUUUGGGUGGGGGAAGGGGACUCCCAGAAAAGUGUUGAUUAAAUUUUGUGUGUUUAUGUAAUGUGUGGGCUGUAAACUCUUCUCUACUCAUCCCUUUGCCUUAAAAGCCACCAGUGAUAUAUAGUUUUCUGGGAAGGAGGGCUGGAAUGGACUAGCUUAGUGCUAUGCUCUCUCUCUCUCCCUUUUCUUCUGUGCCAUCUCACCUCCCUAUUUUCAAAGGUUCAAGCCCUAAUAUUUUGUGAGACCCCCCCCCCCAGAGAAAACCUGCUGCUUCUGUGGUUUUAACUUUUUCUUGUCUCUCUCUCCUCAAGCCUCCCUUAUCUUAGAGAGAAAAGGGGGGGGGGGGGAUGGAAGAAUUGAUGUAUUUUUCUAUAUGUGAGUUUUUUUCUCUCUCUCUCUCUCUUCCACUUCAUGUUUUCCUAGGCCAAAAUGCACUUCAACAUUCUCCUUUUUCAAAGCUCCCCCCCCCUUCCUUCCCAGCAUCCCCAUUUCUCCUUAUAAACAUUCAGUCAAAAUCCUGGUUUACUUUUAUAGUAAAGGCACUCUUUCACUCUCCACAGUUCCCCAACAAUCUCCUUUCUUCCUUUCGGGUCCUUCUCCCUCCCUUUCCCUGAGUGCAUGCGUGUGAAUGUUUUAAAAAUCCCUCUAACUGCCUUUAAUUAUGAGGGGGGGCAGUACAGAGUCCAGGGGACCUUCCAGGCACAGCUGAAGAGAUCCAGAGGACCGGACCCAACCACCUGACUGAGGACAUCAGACCAGACUGCAAGACCCAUAAUCCAUACCUGCCACCAUGAACAGUUCUAAGACCUGGGUAGGGGCUCUCGGAGUGCGCUGUGGAUUUCAUGCAGCAGCUAGAACCCAGAGGCCAUUGGAGAUGGUCCUGUGAGGGCUUUUAUGGCCAGACCACCGUAUGGUGCCCUCCAGCUGGCCUGGUUCUGCCCUGGCAAAGGGCUACUGAGUGCAGGUCUGCCUUUGACGCUGCCAAGGAGGCCCUCAUGACAUCACCAGGGGACAGAAUUGGCCGCCAUGGCAGAAGAUGUCCCAGAAGAAAUGAACAGGAUUCUACCAGUGACCACCAUGAGGGAAGGAUGUUCCACUUUCACCAGAGCUGUGCCAAAGAAGGACCCCAGGACUGCUGGAGCCCUCACAAGGUAUGAGUGACUUCCCUGACUAACCCCACCACGGGAGGGAGGGGGGCUUAUAAUCUGUCCUUAGUUUCCCUAGGCACUCUCUCCUUUCCGUCUCCUCUGUUGGAGUGCUGGACCUGCCUGCAGUCACCAGGAGGCGCCGUGCUGUGAGGCGCAGAAGCUGUGCCCAGUUGCCCCCAGCUGCCAACUACAAAGGGGGGCCCAAGCUGCAGCCAAGAAAAGGCAGCCAAAUGGGAGUACUGCAUCACAGCCUCCAUCAUCCCCAGCCCUCACCACCUCCACCUUCAUGCUCCAUUUCCCAUGACUCCAGACCAAGGGACAUCUGUUUCAACACCAUGGGAUCACCCACCACUGACUGAACCUCAGCUUUCACCUCUUCAAGCUCCUGCCCUCCAACAAAAAGGCACAAUCUGAUCUACCAAGGCAGAGGCCCUGCAUGCAGUGAAAUGUCGGGGCUUUGGGAAAUGUUCAUAGCCAUUUCCAAGCCCCGAAGGGGGGAAAAUGUGAUCGAGGUGACCUCCCCUCCAGGACUUUGUAAAAGAUAGUUCAAAAAUCAAGACUUUAUGUUCUAUAUUCCAUAUAUUUAUAGUAGAAGGUGAUUGAGACUUUUUACUGGAGUUUACUGUGGAUUAUCCCUGCAUUCUGAGGCAAGAGAUAACAACUUCAUGAAUUGUAAAAUCAUGCUGCUAAAACUCCACUUCUAUGACUUUCCAUAUUGGGUUCCCCAGAUGUUGUAAACCUCGUUCUUAUCAAAUGUUUUCAAUUGUUUAUAUCAUCCAUGAUUCCCCUUUAUGCAAUGUCACCCACCUUUAUGGAUUCUCCUUUAUUUCCUUGAAAUCUAUCUAUCUGCCUAUA
Anolis carolinensis (green anole) is the source of this 3192-nucleotide long non-coding RNA. RefSeq lists it as uncharacterized. Lineage: Eukaryota; Metazoa; Chordata; Lepidosauria; Squamata; Anolidae. The transcript has 2 exons. The record is from RefSeq and is a predicted model, not a curated record.